RNAcentral lists this long non-coding RNA (955 nucleotides) under Neogobius melanostomus (round goby). Its description in RNAcentral is "lncRNA (ENSNMLG00000009344.1)". Lineage: Eukaryota; Metazoa; Chordata; Actinopteri; Gobiiformes; Gobiidae. The record is from RNAcentral.
UGGGCCACCGGGCGGCGGUUGCGGAGAAGGAUGGACGGACGCACGCACGCCGCAACCAGGAAAAAAGGAAAAGGGCGCGGAGGAGGAAGCACGGGAUGGCCGCCGUGGCUAUGAUACCCAGGAGGACGAGAUGAUGCAUUUAAGACAGGCCCGGCCGGGUGGCGGCUGCACCUGGCCGUGAAGAUACGAGGAAAGGACCAAACCAGGACUGAGGAUGACCGGCGCCCGGCGAGGCAGCGUGGAACGCAGCGGAGCCAGCGUGACUCCACCACGGUGCCGUGAGAAUGUGGCAGCCAGCGGGACCCAUCGGGGUAGCGAGACGCGGCGGGGGAAAGCCAGCUGAGGCGCACCGACAGCGGACGCGGCGGAGCCAGCAGGACCCACCGGCGGAGAGGCACGCGCUGGACCGGCGGAGGCGUACCCCCAGAGGAAAGCGCGGUCGUGGCCUGGUCUGGGCCUUCAACAGGACUCUGUUUAGUUCCUUGUCUCCAUAAGUGCUUGUAGGUGGUCACUAUAAGAAUGGCCCAAAUGGAAAUAUGAUGCUAUUGCAGAAAACAAAACAAAAAACAGCCCUAGUGCACUCGGGCAAGUCAUGUUGGAGCAUCAAGCCGGCGGCUGGAGGCGUAAAGCCAGCAACUGAGUCCUCAACUUCCAUGGUGCAUCGCGGCUUGCUAGCGCUGGUCCGGAGGCUUCUGUGUAGCUGGGCAGGGUCGGAUGCUCGGGGUCCCGGAAUGGCUCGUCCGGAGAGCGCAACGCGAUUAACACUCACCUGGGUCCUGAUGGUGUGCCCGCCCCUCCUUUUUGUACCAUUCUUUUAACUGCUGUGAUAACUUCAUCUUAUGUACCUGGAUCCUACAAACGUAUGGACCUGUGUUUGGAUGUCCGAGAUAAUGCUGAACCUUUUGUAUGAACUGAACUUGUCUAAAGAAAUGCAUAUCUUAGAGAGAAUAAAUCC